GCCAUGGGCUCCAGGCUCCUCUGCUGGGUGGCCCUUGGUCUCCUGGGAGCAGGCCCUGUGGAUGCUGAGGUCACUCAGAGCCCCAGAAACCUUGUCACAGCAAGGGGUCAGCCAGUGACCCUGAGAUGCAACUAUGAAUCCGGCCAUGAUAGUGUGUACUGGUACCAACAGACUCUGGGCAAGGGCCCUCGGUUCCUCAUUCAGUAUUUCAGUGGCACAAUGAGAGAAAAAGGAGACAUCCCUGCGCACUUCUCAGUGCAACAGUUCAGUAAGGACUUCAGCUCUGAGCUGAGCGUGAGCUCCGUGGAAGGGGCCGACUCUGCCCUGUACCUCUGUGCCAGCAGCUUAUCACAGCCCUGCCUGCUCGGCUGCCUCCUGCACAAAAACAGCCCAGGCCAGCCCAGGAAGUGGCAGCGAGGGAGGCUGCCAGGAGGUGAGAACCCACCUUCACACCAGACCUUGUCCCCCAUGUCCUGUGGCCAGCUGUCCCAAUGCAGUCACAGGCAGGGAAUGGCUUACCCAGAAGACAGUGGAACAGAGGAAGAGCUUGUGUCUGACCAGCCCUUGCUUGAACUCAGAACCCUGGUGUGA
Sorex araneus (European shrew) is the source of this 591-nucleotide non-coding RNA. The record is from the annotation of a RefSeq genome assembly. NCBI's taxonomy places the organism in Eukaryota, Metazoa, Chordata, Mammalia, Eulipotyphla, Soricidae.